UAGACUGAAGCUCGCUGGAUUGAGUUUUUAAUUGUUAAUUAAAUUGUCGUGGGAUAGAGGCCCACUAGUCUAA
This 73-nucleotide transfer RNA is filed under the name Scolecomorphus vittatus. RNAcentral's name for it is "tRNA-Asn". Lineage: Eukaryota; Metazoa; Chordata; Amphibia; Gymnophiona; Scolecomorphidae. The record is from RNAcentral.